RNAcentral lists this ribosomal RNA (331 nucleotides) under uncultured bacterium. Its description in RNAcentral is "bacterial SSU rRNA". It matches the Rfam family "Bacterial small subunit ribosomal RNA", at positions 568 to 898 of the family's 1533-position model. The record is from RNAcentral.
CGCGUAGACGGUUUUGUAAGUCAGAUGUGAAAUCCCUGGGCUCAACCUGGGAACUGCAUUUGAAACUGCAUGGCUAGAGUAUGGUAGAGGGAAGUGGAAUUUCCGGUGUAGCGGUGAAAUGCGUAGAUAUCGGAAGGAACACCAGUGGCGAAAGCGACUUCCUGGACCAAUACUGACGUUCAUGUGCGAAAGCGUGGGGAGCAAACAGGAUUAGAUACCCUGGUAGUCCACGCCAUAAACGAUGACAACUAGAUGUUGGGAGGGUCUGCCUCUCGGUGUCGCAGCUAACGCGUUAAGUUGUCCGCCUGGGGAGUACGGCCGCAAGGUUGAA